Small nuclear RNA from Sorex araneus (European shrew), 142 nucleotides. Its record names the gene U4. It matches the Rfam family "U4 spliceosomal RNA". Rfam says of the family: U4 small nuclear RNA (U4 snRNA) is a component of the major U2-dependent spliceosome. The structure of U4 snRNA from yeast and human has been reported. The record is from Ensembl. NCBI's taxonomy places the organism in Eukaryota, Metazoa, Chordata, Mammalia, Eulipotyphla, Soricidae.
AACUUUUCUCAGUGGCAGUAUCAUAGUCAAUGAGGUUUAUCUGAUGCAUGAUUACUGCUAAUUAAAAACUUUUCAUUUUGAGGGCUGGAGUAGUAAUAGCACAGCGGGUAGGGCGUUUGCCUUGCACGCAGCCGACCCGGGC